Molecule: non-coding RNA, 459 nt
Organism: Podarcis muralis (Common wall lizard)
Lineage: Eukaryota; Metazoa; Chordata; Lepidosauria; Squamata; Lacertidae
Source: RefSeq, a predicted model, not a curated record
AGAGAGGUGUGAGGCGCCGCCCUUUGCCUACCUGAGCGCAGGUUGUGGGUUCCCAUGGCAACAGGGAAGAGGGUUAGUUAUGAAGACGCCUCCUUGUCCCCUCAGCUGCUAAAAUUGUUAUCUUCGCGCAAGAGGGUUUUUUGGGGUGCAACUGGGCCAUGGCUUCUUGAGUUAGAGGGCAACAGGUUUCUCUGCAGCUGUUCAGAAAAGAAUGAAGCCAUGCGUAAGGGAGAAGUCUAUAAUCUGUUGGAUGCUGCUUGUGAAUAAGCUAAAAUGACUGUGAAAUUGCUCUCUCUUCUGCCUGUGCCAUCUGUGCUCUUGGCUUUCUGCCUUGCCACAAGGAGUGAGCAGGAAAGGACAGCAGCUUUACAAGAAUUCUUUUCGCUGACGGUUUCAUCUAAUUUAUCGUGUGUGGACCCAGAUCACUUCCAUGAUCACACUAUUUGGACCCAGCAAGAA